GCAUUUUGUCAAAUAUUAUGUGUGCAUUAUAUUUAUGUACUAUAUCAUUACAAAUUGUUUUCUCCACAUCCAAUGGGUUACAAAUAUAAUAACUUUAACAAUUUACAAGGCUGAAGUUUAAAGCCGAUUUACCUCGAUGAGAGGACGAAAGAUUGGGACUGAGAGCGGGAGCAGGCGCAAGAGCAAAAGUGAGAGCAAGGUGGAGCGUGAGUGCGAGUUGAAUCAAGAUCAACAAUAGCAAGACCAAGAGGGGAGUGGGAGUGAGAGAGUGAGCGAAAACGAUACAGAGCUUGAGAUCCAAAAGGAGAGAGAAAAUGAUUUCAUGCAAAGGUAGAGCAUGAGAUCGAGAGUGAGAGAGAACAAUCUUUUGCUUUAUGAUCAGAGGGGGAGAUAAGAUGAUUUCCUAGCUGAGAUGCAAAGGAAAUGAGAAGGGAUUCCUGGCUGAGAUGCAAAGGGAGGGAGAAGAGAUGCUUUCCUUUUGUUUUAAUUCCAACCGGUUCCCUUUUUUUUGUUUUUAUUCACCUUUUUUUUUUAUUUCGUUAGAUUUAAAAUCCCAAUUGUUGGAUUCAAAUGAGUUAAAUCCAAUGGUUUAGAGACACCUUCUGCACCAUAGGGGGGAUUUUAAUUCCUGCAUUGUAGCCAUAGCCAUAAAACACAGAUUCAAGAUAGCAAAUAACGAAAGAGUCGUUAAUUUGAAUUAUGAGAAUUUGAAUAAAAUAGAGUUGGGCUUGCCAAUGAACAUUGAACUUACCUUUGCAGAGAUAAAAUACAUUGACUUUGUUGAUCUGAUUAUCAAAAUUCCUGAUUUUGAUCCUGAAGCUGAAGUUGAAACAACCAGAUUUUUUAGCAUUCUUAAUUCAGUGAGGAAAACCACACAAUAGUGCUUCGCAUUCUACUUUUAGGGUAACUAAUUAAAUAUUUCUGCAAUAUACUUCAGUUUAUAUAAAUUAAUUAAUUAUGCAUAAAAAAUACUUUAUUCCCGUAACUUAAAAGGCACAGAAGUCUAACUUCAAUUCCAAAUAGAGUUUUAAUUGUAGUUGGUUGCUAUUAGCUUGUUGAACACUUGUUGAAUCUCAUGUAUUAUCCUUUUUUUUAUUUCAAUGAUUUAUAAUGUAGAUUUGAAGUUGUUUUGAUUUUUUUCAAAAAGAAUAAGAAAAUGAAUUGGUUGUGUUCCUAAACCGAAUAAAAGUUUUCAAUUAACUUAAAUUAAUUCCUACUUUUUUAGUUAAUUAUAUUAGGAAUAUUUUUGUAAUUAAAAAUUUUGGUUUCUAAUGUAUAUUUUAAAGUGUAAAUAACUUCACUCUUAAAUUUUGGAUUAAAUACUUCGAUAAUAGUCUGUGAUAUUUUUCAGAAAAGUAUGAGCACCAAAAAUAUUUCAUUAUUAUUUUUAUUAUUUUAUUUUUCUAAUGACAAUUCCCGACGCAUUUGAAUCACAUUAUUAUUUGAUUUUACACUUGUCUAAACCUUUUUCGAUCGAAGCAAAAUGAAUUUUCAUUUUUCAGUCUUGGCUCACUACAAGAAAAAGGACCUAUCAUGAUAGGAAAAAACUGUCAUUGUAGGGGGUGAAUGACGGUUAUCCUUACCGUCAUUGUAGCCAGCGUCAAGAAAAGAUGACAGAUAAAACCACGUCACGAGUUGUGAUAAAUUUUACCUGUCAUAAUUAUGUCAUACAAUUUAAAAGAGGGAAAUUAUUAUUUUUUUA
This 1702-nucleotide long non-coding RNA is filed under the name Citrus x clementina. RNAcentral's name for it is "Citrus clementina (C. clementina) long non-coding RNA (CCLE_LNC000886)". Lineage: Eukaryota; Viridiplantae; Streptophyta; Magnoliopsida; Sapindales; Rutaceae. The record is from RNAcentral.